CAGUAGCCACGGGAAUACGGAGGGGGCUAGCGUUGUUCGGAAUUACUGGGCGUAAAGCGUACGUAGGCGGCUUUGUAAGUUAGAGGUGAAAGCCUGGUGCUCAACACCAGAGCUGCCUUUAAGACUGCAUCGCUUGAACGUCGGAGAGGUGAGUGGAAUUCCGAGUGUAGAGGUGAAAUUCGUAGAUAUUCGGAAGAACACCAGUGGCGAAGGCGGCUCACUGGACGACUGUUGACGCUGAGGUACGAAAGCGUGGGGAGCAAACAGGAUUAGAGACCCCAGUAGUCCCUGUCUCUUAUAC
Molecule: ribosomal RNA, 301 nt
Filed under: uncultured bacterium
Lineage: Bacteria
Description: partial 16S ribosomal RNA
Rfam family: Bacterial small subunit ribosomal RNA
Source: RNAcentral